RNAcentral lists this ribosomal RNA (1487 nucleotides) under Photorhabdus luminescens. RNAcentral describes it as "16S ribosomal RNA". It matches the Rfam family "Bacterial small subunit ribosomal RNA". The record is from RNAcentral. Lineage: Bacteria; Pseudomonadati; Pseudomonadota; Gammaproteobacteria; Enterobacterales; Morganellaceae.
GCCUAACACAUGCAAGUCGNGGCGGUAACAGGAAAGCGCUUGCGCUUUUGCUGACGAGCGGCGGACGGGUGAGUAAUGUCUGGGGAUCUGCCCGAGGGCGGGGGAUAACCACUGGAAACGGUGGCUAAUACCGCAUAAUGUCGCAAGACCAAAGUGGGGGACCUGAAAGGGCCUCACGCCGUCGGAUGAACCCAGAUGGGAUUAGCUGGUAGGUAGGGUAAUGGCCUACCUAGGCGACGAUCCCUAGCUGGUCUGAGAGGAUGACCAGCCACACUGGGACUGAGACACGGCCCAGACUCCUACGGGAGGCAGCAGUGGGGAAUAUUGCACAAUGGGCGCAAGCCUGAUGCAGCCAUGCCGCGUGUAUGAAGAAGGCCUUCGGGUUGUAAAGUACUUUCAGCGGGGAGGAAGGCCAUGCCGCGUGUAUGAAGAAGGCCUUCGGGUUGUAAAGUACUUUCAGCGGGGAGGAAGGGUUGAGCCUGAACAGGGCUGGGCCUUGACGUUACCCGCAGAAGAAGCACCGGCUAACUCCGUGCCAGCAGCCGCGGUAAUACGGAGGGUGCGAGCGUUAAUCGGAAUGACUGGGCGUAAAGCGCACGCAGGCGGUCAAUUAAGUUAGAUGUGAAAUCCCCGGGCUCAACCUGGGAACGGCAUCUAAGACUGGUUGACUGGAGUCUCGUAGAGGGGGGUAGAAUUCCAUGUGUAGCGGUGAAAUGCGUAGAGAUGUGGAGGAAUACCGGUGGCGAAGGCGGCCCCCUGGACGAAGACUGACGCUCAGGUGCGAAAGCGUGGGGAGCAAACAGGAUUAGAUACCCUGGUAGUCCACGCUGUAAACGAUGUCGAUUUGGAGGUUGUGGCCCUGAGCUGUGGCUUCCGAAGCUAACGCGUUAAAUCGACCGCCUGGGGAGUACGGCCGCAAGGUUAAAACUCAAAUGAAUUGACGGGGGCCCGCACAAGCGGUGGAGCAUGUGGUUUAAUUCGAUGCAACGCGAAGAACCUUACCUACUCUUGACAUCCUCAGAAUUUGCUGGAGACAGCGAAGUGCCUUCGGGAACUGAGAGACAGGUGCUGCAUGGCUGUCGUCAGCUCGUGUUGUGAAAUGUUGGGUUAAGUCCCGCAACGAGCGCAACCCUUAUCCUUUGUUGCCAGCGCGUGAUGGUGGGAACUCAAAGGAGACUGCCGGUGAUAAACCGGAGGAAGGUGGGGAUGACGUCAAGUCAUCAUGGCCCUUACGAGUAGGGCUACACACGUGCUACAAUGGCGGAUACAAAGUGAAGCGACCUCGCGAGAGCAAGCGGAACACACAAAGUCUGUCGUAGUCCGGAUUGGAGUCUGCAACUCGACUCCAUGAAGUCGGAAUCGCUAGUAAUCGUAGAUCAGCAUGCUACGGUGAAUACGUUCCCGGGCCUUGUACACACCGCCCGUCACACCAUGGGAGUGGGUUGCAAAAGAAGUCGGUAGCUUAACCUUUUUGGAAGGGCGCCUAA